CUUGAAAUUCUCAAAUGAGCAUAUGCAUGUCUUAACAUUCAAUGCCUGGUUCAAGAUGCCUUAUUAUUGAAGAUGAUAAUUUGUUUCCUCAAGCAUUAAGUAUAGUACCACAGGACCAUGAAUACGAGUUCUCUUCCUCAAGUAGUAAAUAUAGUAAAUAAUGUUCUUACAGCAAUGUAUUUCAUCUUUUAUUCCAAAUCCACCUCAACCAUAAUUCCGCCAAACUAUAUUGCUUAUCUGGUUCAGAAACUUAUGGUUUCUUCAUGUCUCCUUCCUCCACUCGUUGCCUGUCUUCUAUUGCUCUAGCUGCUCUUCAAUUUUGACAAUCUAAACUAGUUGAUCUUCUGCUCAUCAGCUAAGACACUUCAGCUUUGAAAAAGGUAAAGGAAUGGAUCUCUUUUGGCCUGCGCUGAAUCCAAAGGAUGCUCCGUGCAAGCGGAAAACCUUUUCCUUUGUAUUCCUGUUUAAUUGUUUUAUGCUCUAGCUAUCGUUGAUUCUUUAGCUUUUCUAGGCAGGCCUGUAUAGUCUACGAAAUCUUUUGCUAAUGGCAAUUUGUAUUCUCAAAAGUGAGUUUCUUCGCCACCCUGCAUGGUUAGUGCAAGUGUUGUGAAUGUUCAAGAAAUAUGAGGUUUGAUUCUGAAUUAUUUCACUUUAGUUGUAAUCAGAAAUGUAGUUUCAGGUUUCCAUACCUAUCAUGCUUGGUCCAUCUAAUAGAGGAUGACCAUUACAGACCUGUUUGAUGAUACUUUUCUAGUAUAAACAGGAUGAUAGUGUGGGCUUGGGGUUGGGAAGCCCGAUGUGCGCUCUUUUUGCUGACUCUUAGAUCAUUUGUGAUUUGAUUUUUUUUUGUCCAUCUCAACUACUUUUGUUAGAUUAAGUACUUCGAUAUGUGUGUUUAUGUAUAUUAGAGAUGGAGAUGGGACAUGUAUAGUUUUACUUCUUCUUUUCCCCUUAGCCUGCUAUUGCUUUCACUAUUUUGACUCAAGAAGUGGGAAUCUGAAACUAGUCUAGAGAGUAAUCAUGCCCUUAAUUGGUUCUUUCUGGUUGGUGCUUUUUUUUUUUUUUAACUUUUCUUUUGUGCUUCUUGUAGUUCUGUUUCUCCUUUAAUCUUUUCUCUUCUUUUUUCUUUUUGGGUCCUUUAACUUUCUUUACGUUAUAACUAUUUACUGGUAUAGGAUAUGUUGGUUAUAUAUUUUGACAUACUAUUCAGUGUUUAUUUCUAUUCAAGAGGUGAUGCUCCUUUGCGUGAAUAUCCAUUGCUCUUUUAUCUAAAUGUUCUCUCUCUCUGGGGAUGGAACUGGGGUUUUGAGGUAAUUUCCUCAAUUUUGCUACUUGAAUUCAUGAGUUGUUAACUCUGAGAGAAUGUUAUAAUACCAACUUGUACUUUCUAUUCGGAUAAAUCCGCCUCUUAUUAAAGAAAUGAUGAGCUGGGAUCUAUUCUUUAUCAAACUUUUAGGUACCUUUUAAGAUUGGUAUCAUAGUACUGCUUAAAGGAUGCACUAAUUUUCCAUUAAUAUAGAAAAAUAGUUUUGAGCAGCUGCAUGAAGUGAAAAUUCCAGAAAGUGGAAGAUUUGAUAUGCUGUACGUUCCUGCCAUGAAAAAAUACUGUAGUAGUACUACACCUACACUAACCGAGCAUGAAAGAUACCGAUCUCCAUCCACCUUGUAAUCAACAUAACCAUGGAGUGCAUUGUUGUGGAUCUCCAGAAGUGGAGUGUGCUCCAGAAUUUUGCCUCUGCUCAUCUCAGGGGAGGUGAUGCCCAUAUGGAAUGAAAUCAAGAAGAGCAUUAGGAAUAUAAUGACAUCUUAGUCUUUUGUAAUUAGGUUGAGUACAUGAGCUGCUGUUUGGUACUAUAAAUAAAACGGAAAUGGGGCCUUAAUAAUCACAAUGAGGCAUCACUACUCACUCUUGCUUAAAAGUUCAAACUUCUUAAAAUAAGCUUAGUCACUUUGAGUCUGUAACCAAGUCUGCAAUGCCAAGACUUCUAAGAAGCCAUGGUGGUUAGUCAUCAUCUUAAGGUAACAUGAACAUGCAAAAGCAUGCCCAUGUAUGGUUACUAAUUGCCCAGGUGCGCAGAAUUAACAGCAUGAAUAUAAUAAUAUAAUGGUGUCCUAACCUUAACCGUGGCUGUUGAAUUUUUAGAUUUCUUCGUGGAUCAGGAACAUAGUUUGUUCUUGGUUAGUGUUUGCCACAUGAAUCAUGAGUUUGUUUUGUCUUUUCUAGUCUUUCUCAUGAAUCAGGGGUUGUGGAAAAUAAGAACAUCAGAGAGAUCACUUGGUAAAAAAUCUCUCUGCUUUCCUAUCUAUGGUGAAGCCAUCUAUUACCUAUAAGCUUUUCAAUACAUCAUAUUACUAUUUUAUGGUAAUGGAUAGCCAAAUGUUCAGUUGCAUCCCCUUUGUGCACGGGUUUAGCACUAUCCUCAUAGGGCAUUUUUAAGUUUGAAAGAUAAAUAGGAUACAAGCGGAGGACAUUUGCCAACUUCUUCAUCGUUUCGUCGUCCUUUGUCACCGGCUGAUGUGUGCUGCGCAUGACUUCUUUUAUUUUAUUUUGUUUUAUUUUUCGGUCUUUUCACCCUUGUUUCUUUCACUUCUCUCGCUGGUCUCCCAUGACCGGUGAUUUUUUAUUAUUAUUUUGUUUUUCAAAAUCUCACUUCUAUUCUCCAUAUCCUAAAUAUUUCUAUGAUUUGUUUCUCUUAUAAUACCGCCUCUUCUUCCCUCCCCUGAAUAAAGAGAAGGGAAGCUACAAGAGCGCAAAGUAGAAGAAGUGAAAUUCAGAGGAUGAAUACCGUGCUCUUUCAGAUUACUACCAUCAGGGAUGGCCAUGGAAGAACAUCAUCAAGAACUGUUGUGUGUAGCUUAGUCCAAACUUUAGGAAAGGUGGAUUGUCAUCAGGAGAAGAACUGCUUUUAUAUUAGGUAUAGGGAUGCUCUUCAGAAACUUUAGGCAAGGCGAAAUGUUGCAGCAAGCUUCACAUUUCUGGAUAAACUUCAAGACCAAAUUAUAGGUAUUGAGCUAUGUGCACCAUAUCCGGAUAUUGGGCCUGCAUAUAUUCUUGUUACUCGAGGAGAAUUGUUGCAAUGAACUUGGUUUCAUACCCUACACUUGGCAUUUAACUGUACGAAUAAAAUUGUGACUCCAUAACAUUAAUAUACUCGUAUGGCUGAUAUCAUGCCACAA
Non-coding RNA from Coffea arabica (coffee), 3177 nucleotides. The record is from RefSeq and is a predicted model, not a curated record. Lineage: Eukaryota; Viridiplantae; Streptophyta; Magnoliopsida; Gentianales; Rubiaceae.